This is a long non-coding RNA of Onychomys torridus (southern grasshopper mouse), 720 nucleotides long. RefSeq lists it as uncharacterized. The record is from RefSeq and is a predicted model, not a curated record. The transcript has 4 exons. NCBI's taxonomy places the organism in Eukaryota, Metazoa, Chordata, Mammalia, Rodentia, Cricetidae.
CUAAUAGGUUAGAAAUUUUGCAAAAUACAUUCAGCAAAACUUCACUUACUUGAAAUUCCUCUAACAUAAGAUUUUAAAAAAUACUGACAAAGGAGGUGCCAAAGCCCUAAAAAUGGGCGAUUUGGCUGACAACAGCGUAACGGCAGAUGUUUGGAGAUUCAUCCUGGAGCGACGAUUUUAGCUCUUAGGUUUUCCCUGGAUAGCCUACAAGUUAGGAGCUCCGACCAGUGACUGAAAGAGAAUACCAACAUGAAUCAAUCCUUCAGACCCUAGAGAAGAAAGUCAACAACAUGAAGGGAAAAGUCAGUAAAAUGGGUGAGAAAAACCAACAAUAUGGAUGAAAAAGUUCACCAUGAGGUUAAAGACUCCUUGUUCCCAAAGACCAAGCCUGUUUCCUGCUCUUCCUAUAUACGUCACGUUUGAAAAGCAAGAGGCACUGAGGUCGAGACAACCGAGCCCCGCCAAGUCUCCAAGAACUGACCAGAAGCCAGGACUGGUCUUUCCUCAAAGAAGAUUAGAGCAACUGAGUCACUUGAAAGGGACACUCUCCAACCUGGUGAGCUGACUACAGGCUGUGCAGUGUGUUCCAGGUUCCCAACUUGUGUGAGCUGUAACCCACGCUAGAGCGGGUUUUGGCGAUGUGGCUGUCUUUGGGUCAUUUCUGCUCCUGGAAAUAACACCUCACCCAUAUUCCUAUGAGAAACCUCAAUAAAACUCAUG